RNAcentral lists this ribosomal RNA (439 nucleotides) under uncultured bacterium. RNAcentral describes it as "bacterial SSU rRNA". It matches the Rfam family "Bacterial small subunit ribosomal RNA", at positions 340 to 773 of the family's 1533-position model. The record is from RNAcentral.
UACGGGAGGCAGCAGUGGGGAAUAUUGCACAAUGGGCGCAAGCCUGAUGCAGCCAUGCCGCGUGUAUGAAGAAGGCCUUCGGGUUGUAAAGUACUUUCAGUCGUGAGGAAGGUGUUAAGGUUAAUAACCUUAGCAAUUGACGUUAGCGACAGAAGAAGCACCGGCUAACUCCGUGCCAGCAGCCGCGGUAAUACGGAGGGUGCGAGCGUUAAUCGGAAUUACUGGGCGUAAAGGGCACGCAGGCGGUUAAUUAAGUUGGAUGUGAAAUCCCCGGGCUUAACCUGGGAAUGGCAUUCAAGCUGGUUAGCUAGAGUCUUGUAGAGGGGGUUAGAAUUCCAUGUGUAGCGGUGAAAUGCGUAGAGAUGUGGAGGAAUACCGGUGGCGAAGGCGGCCCCUGGACAAAGGCUGACGCUCAUGUGCGAAAGCGUGGGGAGCAAAC